AUUGAACGCUGGCGGAAUGCUUUACACAUGCAAGUCGAACGGCAGCACGGACUUCGGUCUGGUGGCGAGUGGCGAACGGGUGAGUAAUGUAUCGGAACGUGCCCAGUCGUGGGGGAUAACGUAGUGAAAAUUACGCUAAUACCGCAUACGAUCUAUGGAUGAAAGCGGGGGAUCGCAAGACCUCGCGCGAUUGGAGCGGCCGAUAUCAGAUUAGGUAGUUGGUGGGGUAAAGGCCCACCAAGCCAACGAUCUGUAGCUGGUCUGAGAGGACGGCCAGCCACACUGGAACUGGGACACGGUCCAGACUCCUACGGGAGGCAGCCGUGGGGAAUUUUGGACAAUGGGCGAAAGCCUGAUCCAGCCAUUCCGCGUGCAGGAUGAAGGCCCUCGGGUUGUAAACUGCUUUUGUACAGAACGAAAAGGUUUCUACUAAUACUAGGAGCUCAUGACGGUACUGUAAGAAUAAGCACCGGCUAACUACGUGCCAGCAGCCGCUGUAA
Molecule: ribosomal RNA, 500 nt
Filed under: uncultured bacterium
Lineage: Bacteria
Description: partial 16S ribosomal RNA
Rfam family: Bacterial small subunit ribosomal RNA
Source: RNAcentral